UACGUAGGGGCAAGCGUUGUCCGGAAUCAUUGGGCGUAAAGAGCGUGUAGGCGGUUCGAUAAGUCUGCUGUGAAAGUCCAGGCUCAACCCUGGGAUGCCGGUGGAUACUGUCGGGCUAGAGUACGGAAGAGGCGAGUGGAAUUCCCGGUGUAGCGGUGAAAUGCGCAGAUAUCGGGAGGAACACCUAUUGCGAAGGCAGCUCGCUGGGACGUUACUGACGCUGAGACGCGAAAGCGUGGGGAGCAAACAGG
Molecule: ribosomal RNA, 251 nt
Filed under: uncultured bacterium
Lineage: Bacteria
Description: partial 16S ribosomal RNA
Rfam family: Bacterial small subunit ribosomal RNA
Source: RNAcentral